This 500-nucleotide ribosomal RNA is filed under the name uncultured bacterium. Its description in RNAcentral is "partial 16S ribosomal RNA". It matches the Rfam family "Bacterial small subunit ribosomal RNA", at positions 30 to 523 of the family's 1533-position model. The record is from RNAcentral.
AUUGAACGCUGGCGGAAUGCUUUACACAUGCAAGUCGAACGGCAGCACGGACUUCGGUCUGGUGGCGAGUGGCGAACGGGUGAGUAAUGUAUCGGAACGUGCCCAGUCGUGGGGGAUAACGUAGUGAAAAUUACGCUAAUACCGCAUACGAUCUAUGGAUGAAAGCGGGGGAUCGCAAGACCUCGCGCGAUUGGAGCGGCCGAUAUCAGAUUAGGUAGUUGGUGGGGUAAAGGCCCACCAAGCCAACGAUCCGUAGCUGGUCUGAGAGGACGACCAGCCACACUGGGACUGAGACACGGUCCAGACUCCUACGGGAGGCAGCAGUGGGGAAUUUUGGACAAUGGGCGAAAGCCUGAUCCAGCCAUUCCGCGUGCAGGAUGAAGGCCCUCGGGUUGUAAACUGCUUUUGUACAGAACGAAAAGGUUUCUACUAAUACUAGGAGCUCAUGACGGUACCGUAAGAAUAAGCACCGGCUAACUACGUGCCAGCAGCCGCAGUAA